RNAcentral lists this non-coding RNA (30 nucleotides) under Homo sapiens (human). Lineage: Eukaryota; Metazoa; Chordata; Mammalia; Primates; Hominidae. The record is from RNAcentral.
UGAUGACCCUGAAGAGCCUCGGCUGAUGGA